GUGGGGAAUAUUGCGCAAUGGGGGAAACCCUGACGCAGCAAUACCGCGUGAGUGAAGAAGGUUUUCGGAUCGUAAAACUCUUUUAUUGGGGAAGAAGAAGUGACGGUACCCAAUGAAGAAGUCCCGGCUAACUACGUGCCAGCAGCCGCGGUAAUACGUAGGGGACAAGCGUUGUCCGGAAUCACUGGGCGUAAAGGGCGCGUAGGCGGUUUUAUAAGUCAGAUGUGAAAGGUACCGGCUCAACCGGUGACGUGCAUUUGAAACUGUAAGACUUGAGUACUGGAGAGGCAAGUGGAAUUCCUAGUGUAGCGGUGAAAUGCGUAGAUAUUAGGAGGAACACCGGUGGCGAAGGCGGCUUGCUGGACAGAUACUGACGCUGAGGUGCGAAAGCGUGGGGAGCGAACAGGAUUAGAAACCCCAGUAGUCC
This 427-nucleotide ribosomal RNA is filed under the name uncultured bacterium. Its description in RNAcentral is "partial 16S ribosomal RNA". It matches the Rfam family "Bacterial small subunit ribosomal RNA", at positions 354 to 796 of the family's 1533-position model. The record is from RNAcentral.